This 823-nucleotide long non-coding RNA is filed under the name Cricetulus griseus (Chinese hamster). Its description in RNAcentral is "lncRNA (ENSCGRG00015039104.1)". The record is from RNAcentral. Lineage: Eukaryota; Metazoa; Chordata; Mammalia; Rodentia; Cricetidae.
UUUAUCUCAGCCAUGCCAGAGACAGAUUGGCUUUCUUUGUUUCUUGGAAUCUUUACUAGGUGGUUGCUUUAUUGUUUUUCUCUUUUCCUCUUGGGUAACUGCAAAUGGGUUGAAGUGUUGUUUGACUCAUUCAUUAACAUGCCCAUGAAUAGAAUAAGGAGAAAAGCACUGGAGAUUCUUCAGAGAGUUUUGUGAGACAAAACAACUACUUUCCACUCCAAGCAACAUCAGACUGUGAACCCAGGGAUCCAGCAAGACUCAUGGGGCAUCUGAACAAGGCAUCAUCAGGAGAACUUAUUACAUAGCUUCUGAUUCAGUAUGUUGCUGAAGAGCCAAGGACUGUCCAGUUGAAGCAAUCUCCCUGAUGAUACUGGCACUGCUAACCCCAGGACCACACAGACCAGCAAUGCCUCACAAGACCUCUGUGCUUCUUUCAAACAUUAUAUUCUACAAAGUCAUGUCAAUUGCUUUACCAGUCAUGUGGCUUGAAUAAAGAGUAGCAGCCAUGGAGCAUGGGGUGAGAAGUCGCUGGAAGGACAAGUUGACAGAUAGGACUUGGGUCGCUGGGUCACCGCGAGGCGUCGUGAUCUGGACUCAGACAGGGCGAUUUCCUCGGUGAUUUUAAUCUUUUCGUCUGUUCACACGCCAUGCCACCUGGACAUAAUGCAGAGAAAUCUGGAGGCUUAACAAAGUUUUCCCCUUGCCCCAAAGCUCACCCAGGGAAGAGGGGAGGAGACAGGGAAAGAGAAUUAACCCUUUCCCUGUCGUCUCCAGCCAGGGCAGCAAACCUGGCCCCGCCUUGCAGACAAUUCCAGAUCUUUGA